RNAcentral lists this long non-coding RNA (6450 nucleotides) under Nicotiana tabacum (common tobacco). Its description in RNAcentral is "long non-coding RNA (NTAB_LNC006724)". The record is from RNAcentral. Lineage: Eukaryota; Viridiplantae; Streptophyta; Magnoliopsida; Solanales; Solanaceae.
UUCAAUUCAAAUAAUUUUUAAUUUAUUAAUUAAAUCCUUCAGUUUCAAUAAAAAUUCCAAUUUGUCAAAUAGCUUUACAAGCUGCAAUUCAAUUUCAAUAAAUUUCCAAUUUAUCAAAUAGCUUUACAAGCUGCAAUUCAAUUUCAAUAAAUUUCCAGUUUAUCAAAUAGUUUUACAAGCUGUAAUAAGCUGUCCAAGUAUCAUGUAAUUAUUAUUAUUAUUAAGCAUGAUUUUUGCCGAGGUCGUACGGCCCGAUCCAAAGUUUCGUGUACACUGCCGAGGGACGUGCGACACGAUCCAUAGAAGCAUCUAUCCUGCCGAGGCGUUAGGCCCGCUCUACAAGAAAGGAAGAUAUUUUCUUAUGUACCUCUGGAAGGAGAGUAUAUUUAUUAUAAGAUAAAUUCGGGAGGAUGAACAAUUUCUUUAAACAGUUAAUUAAUUUAAACAGAAAAUUAAGCAUAUGAAAUUUUCAUCUUUAUUAUAUUUCCUAACAAUUCACAAUUUAUAUAUCAAAUAAUUCAAUUAAAUAAAGAAUACAAUUUACACAAGUAAUUCAUGUUGUGUGUCCUAAACUACCCGGACUUUAGCAUUAAUAGUAGCUACGCACGGACUCUCGUCACCUCGUGCGUACGUAGCCCCCACAAUUAACAACCAUUAUUAAUUUAAUCACAUAUGGGGUAAUUUCCCCCUCACAAGAUUAGACAAGAGACUUACCUCGCUCCGAAGUUCCAUAGCCGGCUCCCAAGCCUUUCAAAUAACUCGACCGAUGCCCAAUGCUCCAAAACUCGCUUUCGCUUUAUUAACAUUCACAAGCUUUAAUCCUCCUCCGGCAUCGUAACAUUGAGUAAAAUACUCAUACGCCACCAACAAAUUGAUAUCUACAAUUACAAUCUCAAUUACAAUCAAAAUAUGACUCAAAAAAAUUUAUCAAUAUUCAUUUAUGGCUCUCAAGUUGGCUACAAGCCUCCAGCUCAAAUCGUCUAAUAGGUUCACUUACUAGCAUAUUCAACUCCACUCUUAUCAUUCAAUACCCAUUUGAAGUCAUCAAUGAUAUUACAUUAAUUCUCCAACACCGCCAAAUUACUAUUCAUCGUCUUCCUUAACCAACAUUUUCAAAAAUUCAAUUUGGUGAUUAAUUAGUUGAAUACUUUCAACUAAGCUAGAAUAUGAUUCCAUAGGUUCAUUGCAUCCUUUAAUUUCAUUUCUAAGAAAAAUAUUUAUCUUUCCUUCAUUUUCUCAAGAACACUAUUCAUGCCAUGAACUAGAGUUUAUGAAAUUAAUUAUCCAACCAUAACAACUUGAAACAACUAUUAGAAUUACUCUCACCGACUCAUAAGAAAUGAGCUUGAAGCAUUAGUAUUACCUUCUUGAAGCUUUUCCUUGAAAUUCCAAUGUUUGGAAAAUUUGGUGUUCUUGAACAACUUGAAAGAUUUUUAGGGAUUUCAAAGAUUGAAGGAUAUUGAUACUAGUGUUAAUAGGAUAUUAUUAACUUAAAAUAUCCAAACAAAACUCACCUUAUAUUCUUAAGUAGUCCCCAAGGUCGAAUCCACCAUGAAAAAACCAAUCCCUAGCUCAAGAAAAUCCCCAAAAAUUGCUGCUGCCCGUGACUGCCUUAUAAAGGCACAGGUGCUUCAGCGAGUUGUUCCUUGCACUGUGCAGGUUGUACCUCGUAUUACAAGUUUUGCCUGCUGGACACCAUUUACUAAAACGUCCAUAAGUCCUUGUAGAAAUAUCCAAAUGACGAACGGUCGAAAGCGUUAGAAACCAGACUCGAAGAUCUUUCAUUUGAUAGGUUUUACACUAUAUAAAUCCUUAUAUAUAUAGGCAAGCACGUCUAAAGUUAUGUUUUUGUGUGUACUUAUUUGGAACUUUAGUCUAUCAUGUAAUUUUCAACUUGAUUAAGACUUAGGGCUCUCCUUAGACCCUACAUCACUUAUAAUAUGACUCGUUCACUUAUUAACAUACGAACCUACUGGAACCUUAAAAUCCCGAUUCCGGGGUCGUUUUCUCAAAGUGUUGACCGAAGUCAAAUUUGCCCUUUUAAGGCUAACUUAAGGAACCAAGUGUUCUGAUUUCAACCCAAACACUUCUAAAUCCUGAACCAACCAUCCCCGCAAGUCAUAAAUUAUUAAAAACACAUUCGGGGAGUUUUAUUUAGGGGAACGGGAUUCUAAAAGUCGAAACGACCGGUUGGGUCGUUACAGUGUGUGUGCUCUUUGUAUUUGUUACAAGGCAAAUUGAUAAGGUUUGUUAGAGGGAAUAUUUGGGAAAGUGAGGUGGUGAUAUUCUAUUGGUAAAGUACAACAACAACAACAACAACAACAACAACAACAACAACAACAACAACAACAACAACAACAACAACAAUAAAAAACCCAGUAUGAUCCCAACAGGUGGGGUCUGGGGAGGAAAGUCUGUACGCAUACCUUACCCCUACCUAAUGCAGGUAGAGAGGUUGUUUCCAAUAGACCCUCGACUCAGGGAGGGCAAGAAGAAGAAGAGGAAAGCAAUGAAGGAAGAAAGAAGGAAGAGAAAAGAAAAAGGGAGAGAUAAAAGAUAAGUAGUACCAAAUAAUAGCAAUAGGGAAUACAAUACCUGAGGCAAACAAAAUCACAUAACGUAAUGAAAAUCUAAGAAUAUGAAUGGACAUGCAUGCUACUAAGACUAUCGGUGAACAACUAAAAACUACCCACUAACCUUGUACCUUAAUCAUCGACCUCCACACCCUUCUAUCAAGGGUCAUGUCCUCAGUGAGCUGAAGCAGCGCAUGUCCUGUCUAAUCACCUCUCCCCAGUACUUCUUAGGCCUACCUCGACCUCUUCUCAAACUCUCCAUGGCCAACCUCUCACAGCUCCUGGAAAGAGCAUCAAUGCUUCUUCUCUUAACAUGUCCGAACCAUUUCAGCCUUGACUCCCGCAUCUUGUCCUCCACGGAGGCUACUCCCACUCUGUCCCGGAUAGCUUCAUUCUUAAUCAUAUCUCUCCUGGUAUACACACACAUCCAUCUCAACGUUCUCAUCUAUGCUACUUUCAUCUUCUGCACGUGGGAGUUCUUGACUGGCCAACACUCAGCCCCAUACAACAUAGCUGGUCGAACCACCACUCGAUAAAACUUACCCAUAAGUCUUGGCGACACAUUCUUAUCACAUAAAACAUCGGAAGCGAGCCUCCACUUCAUCCAUCCCGCUCCGAUGCGAUGUGCGACAUCUUCGUCAAUCUCCCCGUUACCCUGGAUAAUAGACCCAAGAUACUUAAAACUCGCUCUCUUGGGGAUAACUUGAGCAUCAAGCUUAACCUCUACGUCUGCAUCAUGGGUCCCGUCACUGAAUUUGCACUCCAAGUAUUCUGUCUUGGUUCUACUCAAUUUGAAAUCUUUAGACUCCAAGGUCUGUCUCCAAACCUCCAACCUCGCGUUAACUCCGCUUCACGUCUCGUCAAUCAACACUAUAUCAUCGGCAAAUAGCAUACACCAAGGCACCUCCCCUUGGAUGUGUCGCGACAGUACAUCCAUCGCCAAGGCAAAUAACAAAGGGCUAAGAGUCGAUCCCUGGUGCAACCCCAUCACCACAGGGAAAUACUUCAAGUAACUUCCCACAGUCCUCAUCCGAGUCUUAGCAUCAUCAUACAUAUCCUUAAUCACCCUAAUGUACGCUACCGGAAUGUCGCUAACCUCCAAACAUCUCCACAGUACCUCCCUCGGGACUUUAUCGUACGCUUUCUCAAGGCCAAUAAACACCAUAUGCAACUCCUUCUUCCUCUCCCUGUACUGCUCCACUAAUCUUCUUACCAGAUGAAUCCCUUCCAUAGUCGAACGCCCCGGCAUGAAUCCAAACUGAUUCUCGAAAAUAGACACGCACCUCCUCACCCUGGCCUCAACCACCCUCUCCCAGACCUUCAUAGUGUGACUCAACAACUUGAUACCCCUAUAAUUGUUGCAAUUUUGGAUAUCGCCCUUGUUCUUGUAAAGCGGAACCAUCGUACUCCGCCUCCAUUCUUCGGGCAUCUUCUUCGUCUUAAGAAUAACAUUAAACAGCCCAGUGAGCCACUCCGAACCUGCCCUCCCCGCGCUCUUCCAGAAUUCCACCGGGAUUUCGUCUGGCCCCGUCGCUCUGCCCCUGCACAUCUUACGCAUCACCCCUUCCACCUCCUCUACCGUAAUCCGCCUACAGUACCCAAAAUCCUGUCAACUCUCAGAGUGCUCCAACUCACCCAUUACAAUGCUUCUAUCCCCCUCCUCAUUCAACAGUUUAUGGAAGUAUGUCUGCUAUUUUCUCCUAAUAAGUGCCUCGUCCAUCAACACUUUGCCAUCCUCGUCCUUGAUGCACUUGACUUGGUCUAAGUUACGGGUUUUCCUUUCCCUCACCUUGGCCAACCGGUAUAACUUCUUGUCCCCGCCUCUUCCCCUGAGCUCAUCAUACAAAAGAGCAAACGACGCGUUCUUAGCUGUCAUAACUGCUAACUUCGCAUCUUUCUUUGCCUUUCUGUAACACUCCUGAUAUUUCCUUUUUUCCUCCUCGUUUGUACUCUCCACUAGCUUCAAAUAAGCAACUUUCUUAGCUUCCACUUUACCUUGAACCUCUCCAUUCCACCACCAGUCCCCUUUAUGACCCCCAGGAGAGCCCUUCGUGACCCCUAAGACCUCUCUAGCAGCUACCCUAAUGUAAUUUGCAGUCUUGAACAACAUACUAGACGCGUCCCCCCUACUCGUCCAGGCCCUCAUAGCCAACAACUUCUCCCCUAAAUCUUGAGCUUUGUCCUUGGUCAAGUUACCCCACUUGAUCUUAGGUUGCUUGCACCCCUCCCUCUUCUUCCUACUCCUCUUAAUCUCCAGGUCCAUAACUAGGAGCCUAUGUAGGGUCGUGAGGUGCUCACUUGGGAUGACCUUGCAGUCAGUGCAUAGACCUUUAUCGCAUUUCCUGCAGAGAAGAUAAUCAAUCUGAGUCUUGCCCAUUGAAUUACGGAAAGUGACCAGGUGCUCUUCCAUCUUCGGAAAACCCAAGUUAGCUAUAACCAAAUCAAAAGCUCUAGCAAAAUCCAAUAGUGAAUUACCUCCCUCAUUCCUAUCCCCAAAACCGAACCUGCCAUGCACAUCAUCAUAACCCCCAGCACUAGCCCCAAUAUGGCCAUUGAAAUCUCCGCCAAUGAACAACUUCUCUGUGUGCGUGAUAUUACGCACCAUCUCGUCUAAAUCCUCCCAGAAUUGCUUAUUGACCUCCUGGUCCAAACCUACCUGAGGAGCGUAUGCACUAAUCACGUUUACAGUAAACACACCAACUACCAGCUUAAUACUCAUCAACCUAUCAUUUACCCUCCUAACCGCGACCACGAGCUCCCUGAGGUCCCUGUCUACUAAAAUACCUACCACAUUCUUACCCUCAGCGCUUCCUGAGUACCAUAGUUUAAACUUGUCUACAUCUCGUGCCCUAGUACUCUUCCAUCCAGUCUCCUAAACACACGCUAUAUUGGUCUUCCUCUUCUGAAGAAUCUUACCUAACUCUAUAGACUUCCCCGUCAACGUCCCAAUGUUCCAAGACCCAACUCUCAGCCUAGAGGCUUUCUUACCCCCCCCCCCCUUCCCACCCUCGGACCCCUCCCCCAGACCCACCCGAGGACAUGACCUUACUCUCACAUCAUUCACUACCGCCACUAUAAGCUAAAGGUAUUAGGUAAACACUACUACUAAGAACAAGUAGCGGGGACGAAGGACUACAAGCUACGAACCCGAGAACUAAGAACAACUCAAAGGAGCUACUACGCGAACAGUAAUGCGAGCAGGCACUAGAACAAUGAAUCUACCACGUCUAAGAAACUACCCCUAUGCAAACACAGAAUUAAAAUGGAUAGAUGAAACCUUAAGCUUAAAACACUAGUAGAAAAGAUAGAAAAAGCAAGCAAUCCAAUUAAAAUUGCCAGCAAAGCAACAGUAAAUAGAUGUGCGCAAAUACAAUUCAAGAAAGAUGGAACCUGGAUCACAGUCGGGGAUGUCCGGACGCGCUUCCAAAUCUGCUGAAUGAUGCUGCCUCCCGAACCCGUGUGUAGGAAAGUUUCGACGAUUUGUCAAUUUCACCGGAAAGGUAUCUCACAAUGGCAGUCGAAAAAUCUCUAUUCGAUAAUCAGAACUUGACACGAGAACUUUUACAACUGGCUAAAUAAAAUCUCAACUUCGCCGGAAUUGAGAAGUUCGUUCGCCGGAAUCUCGCUCCCUGUCCUAAAUUAACAGAAAUCUCCACUGCAAUACUCUGACGGAGGGUUCUUUAUUUUUCCGGCCAAAUGCAAUUCAAAUGUGAAAACCGAGCCAACCACAUAAUUUGUUAAUCGUAUUAACUAAAAUAUUCCUUGAUUGCGAGAUGUCUUUGAGAAACAAAGCCAAGAAGUCAGGGAACGAAACCAAAUAACAAAACCACCGUGAUGGGGCAGAAAAAAGAGAAACGGGGGACCACUUCUAAUUUUC